RNAcentral lists this long non-coding RNA (387 nucleotides) under Aotus nancymaae (Ma's night monkey). RNAcentral's name for it is "lncRNA (ENSANAG00000039234.1)". The record is from RNAcentral. Lineage: Eukaryota; Metazoa; Chordata; Mammalia; Primates; Aotidae.
CUACUUUUGGGAGGCUGAGGUAGGAGGAUCGCUUGAGCCCAAGAGGUGGAGGCUGUAGUGAGCUGUGAUGACACCACUGCACUCCAGCCUGGACAACAAAGCAAGACCUUGUCUUGAUAAUCAUCAUCAAAAUAAUAAUAAUUUCAUCAAUAGGUCACCAUUAUGGACUUCAAUGUGGACAUGCUUUAUGCGAACUGUGCUUGUUAAUAAAUGAAGAAUGCACUACAAUUAUAUGCCCUGAUUGUGAGGUUGCUACAGCUGUGAAUACUAGACAAGGCUACUACCCAAUGGCUGGAUGUUUUAAAGAAGACCUUGUAAUGGAAAAACUGCAGCCUAAGACGUAUGUCCCAUGUGUAUUUAUUUGAAUAUUUAGAGUCAGUGUGUUAC